Non-coding RNA from Podarcis lilfordi (Lilford's wall lizard), 5524 nucleotides. NCBI's taxonomy places the organism in Eukaryota, Metazoa, Chordata, Lepidosauria, Squamata, Lacertidae. The record is from the annotation of a GenBank genome assembly.
AUCUAUAUAUAUAUAUAUCUAUCUAUCUAUAUAUAUAUAUAUAUACACCUUUUUGCAAGGAGUUCCUAGAAUAUGUAGCUGCUUAACAAAAUAUUGACCCAGACUAUUUGAUGUAUUCAACUUUUAAGUCACAUAUGAAAAUAGAUUUGCACCACCCUUCUAAAGCACAGUGGGACAUGGGUGGCACUGUGGGUUAAACCACAGAGCCUAGGACUUGCCGAUCAGAAGGCCGGCAGUUCAAAUCCCUGCGACGGGGUGAGCUCCCGUUUCUCGGUCCCAGCUUCUGCCAACCUAGCAGUUCGAAAGCACGUCAAAGUGCAAGUAGAUAGUUACCACUCCAGUGGGAAGGUAAACAGUGUUUCCGUGCGCUGCUCUGGUUCACCAGAAGUGGCUUAGUCAUGCUGGCCAGAUGACCCGGAAGCUGUACGCCGGCUCCCUCGGCCAAUAAAGCGAGAUGAGCGCCGCAACCCCAGAGUCGUCCGGGGCCGGACCUAAUGGUGGUCUAAAGCACAGUAAUGAAACUGCUUGGUGGGCCUCCCUAAGGAGGGAAUUCUGCAGGUGCAGCUCAAUAGCUGAGAAGGCCCUACUCUCUGCUUCCACAGAACAAACUGCCCUGGGAGUGCGCAGAGCUCUUGUGUGGGCUGAUAAGGCAGAAGAAUAAAUAAUUUUGUAAGCCACUUCUGCUUAUUGGCUCCCCUUCUGCCGAGCAGCUUAAGCAGUGUCUCAGUUUCAGGUACCAAACUAUAUCCUCCCAACCCCACUCCCCCAGGAAGAGACAGAGGAAUAUGUUUUUAUGCACCUUUUUGCAAGAGUUUGAGGCUCAGCAGCUCGGGACAUCCCCACCCACCUUUGUUUGGGCUAACCAUGGUUUGAGCUUGCAAUGGGAAAACCAUAGCACAGAGUGGCUUGCCUGCUUUAGUGUUCUUGGGCAUAUACGCUUCUGUCUUCAUGGUGCAAAUGGUCUCUGGAGUGGAGCAGUGGCCAAACCUGGAGUUUGUUAAUUCAGAUGUUGUUCCAAUCUAAGAUGCUUCAAACCUGCUUCAAACCAUGGUUUGUCAGUUUAGGCAGAAUGCCCAAACCAUUAUUAAGCACCCAUAACUGUGGUUUGGCAUGAACUAAGCUAACGAGUUUGCCCAGAUGGAAUUAUCUGCAAGGCUGAUGCUGUACAUAAGCUUUUUAUUUUUUAUUUUUUUUAAAGAGAGUCAUCUCUGCAUUCUACAUCAUUGGCUAGAAAAGUUGAUGGGUAAAACUUACAAUGAUAAACUCUGUCUUUUUUCUGUCUUAAUUUUCAUGUAAAAUCCCAACUGCAUAUUAGAAAUGGUUUCUUUACAUACAGGUCCUGAACGUUUCACAUUGUAGAGUUUUUGCUCUAGGCUGCACUACAACAUCAUUUAUAAGGUUGUAUUCGGGGGGGGGACUCAUUGAAAUCAAACUGUUAUGUUCAAUGUUAGCUGUACUCUGAGUAGACCCAUUGAAAUGAAUGAACAUAGCUAGCUUAGGCCUAUUGAUUGAAUUUGAUUGCAUCUGAACCAAGUUAGUCAAGAUUACUCUGAUGCUUUCCCCCCUGUUCUUGCACAUUGUUUUCAGUUCACGUUGGGUUUCACAGGUUUGAGCAUGGUUACAGGAAGUGGACUGGCAUAUAUGCAUGUCCGAUGUGGUAGGAAAAAAGAGUUGAGAAGUGCAAGUGUGUCGAUUGCAUGCUCUUGCACAAUGUGCAUAGAUAUAAGUGUGGUAACUCAGUUAACACUUUGUGAUACAGAAUGAAAGUGAAGUAGAUUCCUUAAAAGCAUGGUGGAUAUUCUGUAUGACCGCCCAGGUUCUCUGAACAGGAUUCAAAAUUGCCUGAACGGCAAUAUGCCAUACAAAUGCCGCCAUAUUUUCCAAAUUUAGGAGGCUGUACGAUUGUAUUUCAGGGGCCCAGUCCAGCCAAAGUUAAGCACUUUUUAAGGUCCUAAUUUUUAAUGGAGAGAAUUAAGAACCCGUUUCAUGUUGUGCCCUACGGAUUUCAUUGGAAAAGUGCUUAACUUAUGAUUGGAUCUUGUCCAAAAGGUGCCUUUCUCAAAGCUCAGGAAUACUCUAUUUACACACAAAGCAAGGCACUGCUGUCAUGUUCUUUCCUUUUAUAAAAGUAUCUGGAACAUUUGUUUUUUACCCGUUGCCUUCAUUUGCUGAGGUUCACCAAAAUUAUCUCAACUUUUCAGGAUACCUUGCGAUAGCUAUUAAAACUUCUUUCCUUGCAGUGACUUCUCUGUAGCUUGGUACAAACUUCUUUUUUUAAGGCUCAAAUCGGAAGGUCUGGAGUUUUAGUAACAUGAGAAUUUCUCGUAAAGGCACGCAACCUAAAUCCCCCUUAUUUAGAGGUUAUUGUUUCUUCACCCACCCUUCCUUAGUGAGUGUCUCAAAGGUGCAGUGAAAAUAUUAAAACAUAUGCUGGCUUCUGUGUUGAGCAUGUGGUUCCCCCAGGUGGAAAGCUUGUAUUUUUGCCUUGCACCUACGUUUUUUGGAUGUUUCUCCCUAUUAAUCCAUUCUAAUUUGUUGAGGUUUGUGUUUUUUAAAAAGGGGCUUGUAAUGGAAAGAAUGUGUAAAAUGAUAUCAAAGGCGGGCAAAAAUCUUCCAAGGCGGAAUGGACUUGCAACGUCCGUGCUGUUGCGAUCCUCCCUGUGUGGGUUUUUCUUAGCUUCCUUUCUCCCACGAGGCUUCUAAACUGAAAAGUUAAUUUUUCACAGUUAAAUGGCCAGUGUUUGCCUUUAAAAUGCAGACGUUCAGCUGAGCUAGUUGACAGUUGUUUCUGCAGAAAUGAGUUACUCAUGAAAUACCUCUUCUGGUGUAAGCAAAGGACUUUAGGACUUGCAACCGUAGCAUCUGUCCCCGCUUUGAGCACGGUGGUGAUCUUUAACUCCAAGGUUGUGGGCUGUUUUGUGUAUGUGUUGAUUUGCAAUAAAACUUAGCUUCCUCUGAUGGAGCAGGGUCAACGACCGUAGCAAGGUAGCCAUCCUUUAAAGUUCCCCGCAACUAAGGAUGCCAGAGAAUUCAGUCAGAAAUUGUUGGGUGUGGACGUUGCCACAUUUUCAUCCAAGGUCAGGAACAGAAAUCACACAAGCAGAAAAGAGCGGUACUUGCUUUUCACUCCAAAAAAUGCUAUGUUAUUUUCUGUCGUCGUUUUUGAUACUUCCUUUCCAUUUAAAUGCAUUGAAAUUAAUUACAUAAUUAUAUUAUUUUCAGCUGUAGUGGAUAGCGAGAUAGACAUAGGUUUUUGAUGAAGCUGAACUGCAGUGGAACAGAAACCGUGCUGAUUGUGAUUGUUUAUUAUCCUUUAUUAAAUUUCUGUACCGCCCUUUAGCCGAAGAUCAUGGGGUGGUUUACAAUAUAAAGUGAAUAUAAAGCACGGAAAUCGCUGCCUCCUUACAUCCCUGCCUAAGAUUCUUGGUUGUCUUUUCCGCAAAUUGCAAUAAAGCUCUUGUUGAUACAAAACAUACAGUGGAGGGAUGCUUCUGUCCCCAAAUCUCCCAUUCUUGUCUAGGCUUCUCCCCCCCCCCCUUUUUUUUACACUAUCUGAGAAGGCAGCUGUUAGAAUUUUUCUGGCCUUUGCUUUGUUCAUCUGCAGGAAUGCUUGCUUCUUCCUGAAGUGCGAAAUCAUUCUUUUUGUGCAUUUAGUCCCUAACUUGUAGCUGUGAACUGUUUCAUGUUUAGUGCAGCCUUGCAAAUUAGCCCACAGAAGUUCCUAGCAAGCCUGCAACAUGUUCCAAAGCAUAGCUGCCAGGGUUUUCAUGGGGGCUUUGUGAUCUGAUCAUAUAACUUUGAUUUUGUAUCAUCUUCCUUCGUUACCUGUUUUGUUUCUUGGCUCAAUUCAAAGUGCUGGAAGGAAGGUGGAGACUCUCGGAGGUUUUAUAGCAGAGGUUGGAUGACCACCUGUCAUGGAUGCGUUAAUUGAGAUUCCAGCAUUGCAGGGGGGUUGGCUAGAUGACCCAGGGGGUCCCUUCCAACUCUAUGCUUCUUUAAAUUCCUCUAUUGCCUAGGAUCAGAUACCUUAAGAGCUGUUUUCUGCUAUAUGUACCUACCAGAACCUUAAGUCUGUUUUCAGUGGUACUGAUCUGUGUCCCUUUCCUAUUAGGAAAACUUGAGAAAAUGGGUUUUCUAGCCCUGUUGACUGUGUUUGGACAAUCAUAGAUUAGCUUAAUAACCGGAGACAUGACCGAGCCUUGCACACAGCCACUUUGUCCCUCUUUGUCCCCUUUGUGUGUGUAAGUGAAGAAGCUAGCAAGCCUCAGUAAAUAAACUCUGUUUUCCCAUUAUGUUCAGACCAGGAAACUAUGGUUAACAGCUUCCAAAUGAACCCACCUGUGAAGCCAUGUUUUAAAGUUGGCUUAAUAUCCUGGUGUGUUUGAAUGCCACUGACCACAGUUUCCCAGUCCAGACCCAAGUGAAUGGUCAUUAGCAAUAGAGGCUAAACAUCAAUGCUGCAUAGUGGUUAGUGUGUUGGAUGAGGACUAGGAAGGCCUUGGUUUAAACCCCCACUUGGCCAUGAAACUCACUGAGUGACCUUGGGACCAGUUGAUGUUUCUCACCCUUAAAGGGUUGUUGAGAGGAUAAAAUGGAGGAGGCAGGGUGAGAGGAAGCUCCUUGGAGGAGAGGCAGGAUAUAAAUUUAAGCAGCUGUGUUCCUGGGUUCAGUCUGCAUGGCUUAGGAAAUAGGAGGCCAAAGCAAAGUGUCAAAAAGAUCCCUGCAUUGUUAGGGGUUCCUGAUUACCUCUUUGCUCCACCUUGGGCCAAGUGACUAACAUCAAUGAAUCUUCGUCUUUGGUGUGCACAGGUGUGUAGAGUUCAGAAUUUGACUGAGAGUGAAUUGGUUUAGUGAAGAAGAGCAAGCAGCAUAAAGGCAAGGGAAUUUGCCUUUUUUGAAAGCGUCAGAUUACUGAUUCAGAAUAGCAACUGUGAAUCACUAACCUAUGCUAUCCUUGAUCAUUUGGAACGAUGAAGUAGCCUCAUAUUGAGUCAUAUUGAGUCAUGUCCAUGUAGCCCAAUCCGUCUAACUGGAGAUGCCAGGAAUUGACCUUGGGACCAUGUACUGAGCUAUGAGCCUCUCCAAGAGGUCUUGUAAGCUAGCUCUCUUAACAGCUGCAGAAAUACAUUUUGAGGCUUUGGUUGGCCCAUUGCAGAUUUAACGGUGACGAAACGGUUAAGCGAUUGGUAGUGGGAGCUUUGCAGCUGUUCAUCCUGUGCCAUCAGCAUCUGGAUUCCCCUGUGCCAGUGCAAAGCGAUUCAAAGUGGGAAAGAUGCAGGUUAUAAUGACUUGAAAGCCCUUGUGGAUCUCUUUUCCUUAAGGUAACCUUAGCCCGGGUCUCCACAGUUGCUUGCUUGCAGCAGGUCACAUCAUUUGUAAUCCUAAACUACUUUUGCUGUCUGAGACGACUUAUAACGGUGCGCUUCAAUAAACUCUGGUUCUCAUGACUUAUUGGCAGAUGGGUGGGGAAUACCUACAGUAUUAGCUUUCACCUGCAGUUACUUGCAUGAUGCAGAAAGAGAGA